RNAcentral lists this ribosomal RNA (484 nucleotides) under uncultured bacterium. Its description in RNAcentral is "partial 16S ribosomal RNA". It matches the Rfam family "Bacterial small subunit ribosomal RNA", at positions 30 to 507 of the family's 1533-position model. The record is from RNAcentral.
AUUGAACGCUGGCGGCAGGCCUAACACAUGCAAGUCGAGCGGAUGAAGGGAGCUUGCUCCUGGAUUCAGCGGCGGACGGGUGAGUAAUGCCUAGGAAUCUGCCUGGUAGUGGGGGAUAACGUCCUGAAACGGGCGCUAAUACCGCAUACGUCCUGAGGGAGAAAGUGGGUGAUCUUCGGACCUCACGCUAUCAUGUGAGCCUAGGCCGGAUUAGCUAGUUGGUGGGGUAAAGGCCUACCAAGGCGACGAUCCGUAACUGGUCUGAGAGGAUGAUCAGUCACACUGGAACUGAGACACGGUCCAGACUCCUACGGGAGGCAGCAGUGGGGAAUAUUGGACAAUGGGCGAAAGCCUGAUCCAGCCAUGCCGAGUGUGUGAAGAAGGUCUUCGGAUUGUAAAGCACUUUAAGUUGGGAGGAAGGGCAGUAAGUUAAUACCUUGCUGUUUUGACGUUACCAACAGAAUAAGCACCGGCUAACUUCGUG